Molecule: long non-coding RNA, 894 nt
Filed under: Felis catus (domestic cat)
Lineage: Eukaryota; Metazoa; Chordata; Mammalia; Carnivora; Felidae
Description: lncRNA (ENSFCAG00000041429.2)
Source: RNAcentral
UUAGCAGAGAAGGUUCCAUCUAAGGAGGUCUCCACCAUUUGUACAAAGAUGAUGCAUAAAUGAAGAAGAUUUUAGAAUCUACUUACCAGGGAUUGCAAACUCAAAUACCUACCAGGCGGGGCACCUGGGUGGCUCAGUCUGUUAAGCGUCCAACUUCAGCUCAGGUCAUGAUCUCAUGGUUGGUCAACCGAGGCUGAGGAGAAAAGCAAUGUUUGCAUCUCAGACACUGUGUUGGUGAAAUGGAUUAACUUUGGUCUUCCCAGCCGACCAAACACUCUCAUCAUCUAUGACGAUGACUAUACCGAGAAAGUCGAAACAAUCAUGUGUUAUCGGUGAUACUACACUCUUUCCAGUGGGGGCAGACCAUCUUUUCCCCCACCCGCCUCCCCAUCACUGCAGUGAAGGAAGCCUGCCGCAAAAGAGAGUAUCCUGUGUGAUUCCAUGUGAAGACAGUCUGGACGAUAACCGCCACCCAGGAGCGUGUCCGCUGGAAAUGCAACCUGGUAGGGGAUGCCCCGAAACCACUGGCACGUAGAGGGUGUGGCUGUUAGGAACAUGGGCUUUGGCGUCAGCUGCUCUACCACUUACUAAUAACCUUGGCCUGUUAUUCAUUUAGAAGUAGAGAUGAUAAUACCUACCACAGAGGAUUGUUGGCCAGAUUAAGAUAAUGUGCGUAAAGCACAUGGUAAUAUUGAAAUACCAGAGUCAGGGGUCAGCAACAUAGGAGAUAUUCCUGGCAAUGUGACCCCAUUUGAAUCCAUCACACGUGGUCUGGCAUUCAGACACACGAGUCACAUAUGCUUCCAUGUGCCUUGGGUGGCCAGAGAUUAAGUAAAUUUUUUUCCUCUUUCAAAAAACCACAUCCUUUUAGUAGAAAACUACAGCAAACACCGC